Molecule: non-coding RNA, 732 nt
Organism: Xyrichtys novacula (pearly razorfish)
Lineage: Eukaryota; Metazoa; Chordata; Actinopteri; Labriformes; Labridae
Source: the annotation of a GenBank genome assembly
UGUUUUUGUGUUUCUCACUUUCAGAUAUAUUUACCAUUUUGUUUAGGGAAGGUGGAAGAGAAACACAAAAACAGACAGAUGACUAUAUGAAAGAUAAGAAUUGAGAGGAAAAGUGGAAAAUUUUAAUAUGGUAAAUCCUCAGUUCGUGCUGACAACCCACACCUGAUUUACACAUUUUAUGACCACAGGAAACUUUCUCAUUAUGGCAGAUUACAAUUUAAUGGGCGCAGUUCUGUGACUUUUCAGAAAGUUUCUCUAAAAGCAGAGGAAGAAUUAAUUUGUGAAGUUGUGUUGUUUAGAUGUUAAGUUCUUGAAAGUAACAGGAUUUACUGAAAUAACCUUCUUCUAGGUGGUGGGCUGGAUAUUGCUGAAUAAACUGUAGAUGUUCUUUGCAUGUGCAGCUAUUGUUUGAUUAUUGAAUAGUCUCAGUUUUCAUGCCCGCUAUGACUAAAUUUUGCAUCAUUAACUGUGUCACACUGAUUCAAAGCUGUCAUUCAGAGCUUUGUCUCACACAUGCUGUUAUACGUCAACCUAUUUGUCUGAUCUUAGCUUUUAUUUUGAAAGGUCACAGUCCAUGAAAGUAGUUAAAAUAUAUUUUAGCAUGUCGUUUCAUUUCUAUCUAUUUGUUUCUUGAUAUCUCUAAUUUCCGUCCUCUGUCACAGCCAAGCUCAAGGCUGCAUAAACAACCAGCUGGCUGUUGCUAAAAAUAACCUUAUUUGAUAUCAGUAAAAC